UCCGUAGGUGAACCAGCGGAGGGAUCAUUA
Molecule: ribosomal RNA, 30 nt
Filed under: Colletotrichum acutatum
Lineage: Eukaryota; Fungi; Ascomycota; Sordariomycetes; Glomerellales; Glomerellaceae
Also listed under: 9 other names
Description: partial 18S ribosomal RNA
Source: RNAcentral